UUGUCCGGAAUUACUGGGUGUGAAGGGAGCGUAGGCGGGACGGUAAGUCAGGUGUGAAAUAUACGUGCUCAACAUGUAGACUGCACUUGAAACUGCUGUUCUUGAGUGAAGUAGAGGUGAGCGGAAUUCCUAGUGUAGCGGUGAAAUGCGUAGAUAUUAGGAGGAACAUCGGUGGCGAAGGCGGCUUACUGGGCUUUUACUGACGCUGAGGCUCGAAAGCGUGGGGAGCAAACAGGAUUAGAUACCCUGGUAGUCCACGCUGUAAACGAUGAUUACUAGGUGUGGGGGGACUGACCCCUUCCGUGCCGCAGUUAACACAAUAAGUAAUCCACCUGGGGAGUACGACCGCAAGGUUGAAACUCAA
RNAcentral lists this ribosomal RNA (364 nucleotides) under uncultured bacterium. Its description in RNAcentral is "bacterial SSU rRNA". It matches the Rfam family "Bacterial small subunit ribosomal RNA", at positions 541 to 904 of the family's 1533-position model. The record is from RNAcentral.